GACGAACGCUGGCGGCGUGCUUAACACAUGCAAGUCGAACGGAAAGGCCCUGCUUGCCGGGUACUCGAGUGGCGAACGGGUGAGUAACACGUGGGUGAUCUGCCCUGCACUUCGGGAUAAGCCUGGGAAACUGGGUCUAAUACCGGAUAGGAGCCAUCCUUAGUGUGAUGGUUGGAAAGUUUUUUUGGUGUGGGAUGAGCUCGCGGCCUAUCAGCUUGUUGGUGGGGUAAUGGCCUACCUAGGCGGCGACGGGUAGGCGGCCUGGGAGGGUGGACGGCCACAUUUGGACUGAGAUACGGCCCAGACUCCUACGGGAGGCAGCAGUGGGGAAUAUUGCACAAUGGGCGCAAGCCUGAUGCAGCGACGCCGCGUGGGGGAUGACGGCCUUCGGGUUGUAAACUCCUUUCGCUAGGGACGAAGCUUUUUGUGACGGUACCUAGAUAAGAAGCACCGGCUAACUACGUG
Molecule: ribosomal RNA, 465 nt
Filed under: uncultured bacterium
Lineage: Bacteria
Description: partial 16S ribosomal RNA
Rfam family: Bacterial small subunit ribosomal RNA
Source: RNAcentral